GACAGAGGUCCCGAGCGUUAGGCGGAAUCACUGGGCUUAAAGCGUGUGUAGGCGGAUGCCUAAGUACCUUGUGAAAUCCCACGGCUUAACCGUGGAACUGCUUGGUGUACUGGGUGUCUUGAGCCACUUAGGGGCUACCGGAACAAAUGGUGGAGCGGUGAAAUGCGUAGAUAUCAUUUGGAACGCCAAUGGUGAAAACAGGUAGCUGGGAGUGUGCUGACGCUGAGACACGAAAGCCAGGGGAGCAAACGGG
This 253-nucleotide ribosomal RNA is filed under the name uncultured bacterium. RNAcentral describes it as "partial 16S ribosomal RNA". It matches the Rfam family "Bacterial small subunit ribosomal RNA", at positions 524 to 776 of the family's 1533-position model. The record is from RNAcentral.